This 377-nucleotide ribosomal RNA is filed under the name uncultured Planctomycetia bacterium. RNAcentral describes it as "bacterial SSU rRNA". It matches the Rfam family "Bacterial small subunit ribosomal RNA", at positions 521 to 896 of the family's 1533-position model. The record is from RNAcentral. Lineage: Bacteria; Pseudomonadati; Planctomycetota; Planctomycetia.
UAAUACGAACCGUCCAAACGUUAUUCGGAAUCAUUGGGCUUAAAGGGUGCGUAGGCGGCGUGGUCAGUUGGGUGUGAAAUCCCUCGGCUCAACCGAGGAACUGCGCCCAAUACUGCCACACUCGAGGGAGACAGAGGUAAGCGGAACUGAUGGUGGAGCGGUGAAAUGCGUUGAUAUCAUCAGGAACACCAGUGGCGAAGGCGGCUUACUGGGUCUCUUCUGACGCUGAGGCACGAAAGCUAGGGGAGCGAACGGGAUUAGAUACCCCGGUAGUCCUAGCUGUAAACGAUGAGCACUUGAUCGGAGACUCCUCCAUAGGUUUCCGGUCGUAGCGAAAGUGCUAAGUGCUCCGCCUGGGGAGUAUGGUCGCAAGGCUG